AAUAAGUAAUGUUUUACACUGUUCACGUCCAACGUUUAACCGUUUGUCUUAUUUGAAAUUUUUUUAUGAUUAGUAUUUUUAUUAUUAUUAGAUGAUAAAAUAUGAAUAGUACUUUAUGUGUGACUAUUUUUUUAAUUUUUUCAUAAAUUUUUCAAAUAAGACGAACGGUCAAACGUUGGACACGGAUACCCACGGCUGUACUUAUU
RNAcentral lists this microRNA precursor (206 nucleotides) under Oryza sativa Indica Group (long-grained rice). RNAcentral describes it as "MIR812 microRNA precursor family". It matches the Rfam family "MIR812 microRNA precursor family". The record is from Rfam by way of RNAcentral. Lineage: Eukaryota; Viridiplantae; Streptophyta; Magnoliopsida; Poales; Poaceae.